RNAcentral lists this ribosomal RNA (309 nucleotides) under uncultured bacterium. RNAcentral's name for it is "bacterial SSU rRNA". It matches the Rfam family "Bacterial small subunit ribosomal RNA", at positions 28 to 335 of the family's 1533-position model. The record is from RNAcentral.
GACGAACGCUGGCGGCGUGCCUAACACAUGCAAGUCGAACGGAGUUAAGUGCUUCGGUAUUUAACUUAGUGGCGAACGGGUGAGUAACGCGUGAGAAACCUGCCUUUCAGUGGGGGACAACAGUUGGAAACGACUGCUAAUACCGCAUGAUACUUUUUGGGGGCAUCCCUAAAAAGUCAAAGCUUUAUGUGCUGAAAGAUGGUCUCGCGUCUGAUUAGCUAGUUGGUGAGGUAAUGGCUCACCAAGGCGACGAUCAGUAGCCGGUCUGAGAGGAUGAACGGCCACAUUGGGACUGAGAUACGGCCCCAG